UCUCAAUGAUGUUAUUUUAUUAUAUUUGCUACUUCAGAGGGACUAUCUAUCCCAAUGAGACAUUUUUUAAUCACCAAGAUCUCUGAGAGA
Molecule: small nucleolar RNA, 90 nt
Filed under: Hanseniaspora valbyensis NRRL Y-1626
Lineage: Eukaryota; Fungi; Ascomycota; Saccharomycetes; Saccharomycodales; Saccharomycodaceae
Description: Small nucleolar RNA SNORD24
Rfam family: Small nucleolar RNA SNORD24
About the family: U24 is a member of the C/D class of snoRNA which contain the C (UGAUGA) and D (CUGA) box motifs. C/D box snoRNAs have been shown to act as methylation guides for a number of RNA targets. U24 is encoded within an intron of the gene for ribosomal protein L7a in mammals, chicken and Fugu.
Source: Rfam by way of RNAcentral